CAGUCGAACGAACUCUGGUAUUGAUUGGUGCUUGCAUCAUGAUUUACAUUUGAGUGAGUGGCGAACUGGUGAGUAACACGUGGGAAACCUGCCCAGAAGCGGGGGAUAACACCUGGAAACAGAUGCUAAUACCGCAUAACAACUUGGACCGCAUGGUCCGAGUUUGAAAGAUGGCUUCGGCUAUCACUUUUGGAUGGUCCCGCGGCGUAUUAGCUAGAUGGUGGGGUAACGGCUCACCAUGGCAAUGAUACGUAGCCGACCUGAGAGGGUAAUCGGCCACAUUGGGACUGAGACACGGCCCAAACUCCUACGGGAGGCAGCAGUAGGGAAUCUUCCACAAUGGACGAAAGUCUGAUGGAGCAACGCCGCGUGAGUGAAGAAGGGUUUCGGCUCGUAAAACUCUGUUGUUAAAGAAGAACAUAUCUGAGAGUAACUGUUCAGGUAUUGACGGUAUUUAACCAGAAAGCCACGGCUAACUACGUGCCAGCAGCCGCGGUAAUACGUAGGUGGCAAGCGUUGUCCGGAUUUAUUGGGCGUAAAGCGAGCGCAGGCGGUUUUUUAAGUCUGAUGUGAAAGCCUUCGGCUCAACCGAAGAAGUGCAUCGGAAACUGGGAAACUUGAGUGCAGAAGAGGACAGUGGAACUCCAUGUGUAGCGGUGAAAUGCGUAGAUAUAUGGAAGAACACCAGUGGCGAAGGCGGCUGUCUGGUCUGUAACUGACGCUGAGGCUCGAAAGUAUGGGUAGCAAACAGGAUUAGAUACCCUGGUAGUCCAUACCGUAAACGAUGAAUGCUAAGUGUUGGAGGGUUUCCGCCCUUCAGUGCUGCAGCUAACGCAUUAAGCAUUCCGCCUGGGGAGUACGGCCGCAAGGCUGAAACUCAAAGGAAUUGACGGGGGCCCGCACAAGCGGUGGAGCAUGUGGUUUAAUUCGAAGCUACCCGAAGAACCUUACCAGGUCUUGACAUACU
This 967-nucleotide ribosomal RNA is filed under the name Lactiplantibacillus plantarum. Its description in RNAcentral is "bacterial SSU rRNA". It matches the Rfam family "Bacterial small subunit ribosomal RNA", at positions 59 to 990 of the family's 1533-position model. Lineage: Bacteria; Bacillati; Bacillota; Bacilli; Lactobacillales; Lactobacillaceae. The record is from RNAcentral.